RNAcentral lists this non-coding RNA (31 nucleotides) under Mus musculus (house mouse). The record is from RNAcentral. Lineage: Eukaryota; Metazoa; Chordata; Mammalia; Rodentia; Muridae.
UGUGCUUUAACGCCUUGUCCUCUAGUUGGUU